RNAcentral lists this non-coding RNA (184 nucleotides) under Clostridia bacterium. RNAcentral's name for it is "6S RNA". It matches the Rfam family "6S / SsrS RNA". Rfam says of the family: E. coli 6S RNA was the first non coding RNA to be sequenced, but its function was unknown until recently. It consists of 184 nucleotides that fold into an extended hairpin structure with a large single-stranded internal bulge. The record is from RNAcentral. Lineage: Bacteria; Bacillati; Bacillota; Clostridia.
AAUUCCCUACGAUGCCCGUGGGGGGAGCUGGCAAGUUUUGAGCCAACACAUAUUACGAAGGGAGCCUAACUCUGUUUACGUAGUAAAUGCCUCUUUAAAGAGGACUUAUGAAAUAAACAGGAGGGCACCCACCUGCCGGGGGCAGGUUCAAAACACCAGCUACCACGGCAUAUGUGGGGGUUAA